This is a long non-coding RNA of Larimichthys crocea (large yellow croaker), 1128 nucleotides long. RefSeq lists it as uncharacterized. The transcript has 2 exons. The record is from RefSeq and is a predicted model, not a curated record. NCBI's taxonomy places the organism in Eukaryota, Metazoa, Chordata, Actinopteri, Sciaenidae.
AUGCCGGGUUAUUAUCCUAUAUGUGUUUAUGAUUGAUAAAACAUUCAGACAUAAUGGAAUCAUUUAUAAAACAUAUAGUUUUUGUCAAAAGUAACUUUUUAUUGCAUAUUAUUGCUUUUAAGUUUAAUUUAUUUUUUAAUUCUCACAAAUUAUUUUGGUGAUAAUUGGUGGACCCCCUGCAGUACCUCUGCAGACCCCCAAAGGGGUCACAGACCCCCGGUUGAAGACCCCUGCUCUUAUUUAAUUGUCAUAUAAGAUGUGAUAAAUUAAGAUAAACUCAUUGAUCCCACACUUUCAUUUACUUGUCACAGCAGCUUAAAGGUCCAGUGUGUAAGAUUUACUGAAUACGAUAUUCAUAAGUCAGCAGACAAACCAAACACUGGCUCCAGAUAUGACCUUUUGCUUCAUGUGAGUUUCAGCUGCAUGCGUACAUGGAAGGAGGCGAGGCGUCAUCUGGCUGCAAUCUGCAACUUCACUGCAAGACUGAGGUGUCGACUGUUCAUCGCUCAGCCACACUGUAACUGUAAACUUCACGCCGCCCUCAAUAUCUCAUUUAGGCCCGACCGACGCCUCCGUCAUGACGCAUGAAAUGUGGCGUUCUCUCUUCACACACUCCACUGACAGAACAGACAGGACCAGCCAACUGUCAUGUGUUGUUUUAUUAUAAAAACAAACAGCGAAACCAACAGAGAAAUUCAGACAAUAAAACACAACAAGGGGAAAGACAAUAAAACACUUGUAACAUAAUUCUAACGAGCUUUCUUCUUUGCACGGAUCAUCUAUUUCCAGGACUCUUCGUGUUGACCUGGAAGACAGAGUUCUGGAAAUAUCCAUUAUCAUACGUGUGUGUGUGUGUUUGCUGUUUUUUUGUUUUGUUUGUUUUUAAAAAAAGCUGAGAAAUUACAGCGUGAUUUUUAAAAUAUCAGGCUAAUUGUUUAAAUACGGGCUCAAUAAAAUACACAUCAUCUAUUAAAGAGAUUCUCCCGCCGACAGUUCCUGACCCUAGGCUGCUUUUUAAAUCGAUAUAAAACAAUAACAACAACAUAACUGCAAAACUGCCCCCCCCCAAAAAAAGCAUUUAUAUCAACAUCACAUUACCAUUAACCAUUAAAUAAGAUCUCCAGAGCA